CGAUGGACAAACAAUGUACCGAUGGGACCAGGCGAUGGACUAAUAGAAGGGUAUACAACGAUAAACGAAGAGAUUGAUAGAUGGAGGAAAACACGAUGGACAGAGACGAAGGAAAAAAGAAGAGAAAGAUGGAGGGACAGACGAUGGACAAGUCAAGGGACAUACGAUAGACAGACAAACGAGAAGAUGGAGGGGCAGACGAUGUACAAACGGACGAUGGACAGAUGAGAGGAUGGACAGAUGGAGGGACAGACGAUAAGUAGUUAGAGAGACAGGCGAAGGAUAUAUAAAGGAACAGACGAUCUACAAAUGAAGAGAAAGACGAUGAAAAUGGAUGAACAGACCAUGGGCAGAAGACAAGAGAUGGUGGACAGUUGGUGUAAACAUACGAUGGAGAAACAGACGCUGAAUAAAUGGAGAAAGAGACGAUGGAAAAACAGACGAUGGACACAUGGAGAAACAGACGCUGAAUAAAUGGAGAAAGAGACAAUGGAAAAAUGGAGAAACGGACGAUGUACAAAUGGAGAAACAGAUGAAAUACAAAUAGAGAGAAAGAAAAUGAAGGACAGCGUUGAGAAAUAAUGAAAAUAUGGAAUGACAGUUGAUGAACAAAUGGAGAUAGAUGAUGGAUAGACAAACGGACUAAAAUGGACAGAUGAAGUGAAAGACGAUCGGCAGAUGGAGGAACAGACGAUGGACAGAAAAGAAACACGAUGGACUGAAGGAAAGACAUGAUGGACGAGAGGAACCGACGAUGAACGGACGGAGAGAAAGACGAUGUCCAGAUGAAAGGAUAGAUGAUGAAAAAAACGACUUAACAGACAAGGAAAGACGAAGUGGCAAACAGACACAAUUACACACAGUUCCUCUUAGCCUUUUAACUUGGUUUGCAUGGGGUCUAUGAAAUUCACGAAGGACGAAUUACGGGACUUCGAACGUUGGACGGAAUACGUUGUAAUUACAUGUAGAUCAUCGAGAAGACUCAGAUUGUAGAUUAAAGAGAACAACAGGA
This is a long non-coding RNA of Ostrea edulis (European flat oyster), 1012 nucleotides long. RefSeq lists it as uncharacterized. The record is from RefSeq and is a predicted model, not a curated record. The transcript is spliced from 3 exons. Lineage: Eukaryota; Metazoa; Mollusca; Bivalvia; Ostreida; Ostreidae.